Molecule: ribosomal RNA, 254 nt
Filed under: uncultured bacterium
Lineage: Bacteria
Description: partial 16S ribosomal RNA
Rfam family: Bacterial small subunit ribosomal RNA
Source: RNAcentral
UACGUAGGGCGCGAGCGUUGUCCGGAUUUAUUGGGCGUAAAGAGCUCGUAGGCGGCUCAGUAAGUCGGGUGUGAAACCUCCAGGCUCAACCUGGAGACGCCACCCGAUACUGCUGUGGCUUGAGUCCGGUAGGGGAGCGUGGAAUUCCUGGUGUAGCGGUGAAAUGCGCAGAUAUCAGGAGGAACACCAGCGGCGAAGGCGGCGCUCUGGGCCGGAACUGACGCUGAGGAGCGAAAGCGUGGGUAGCAAACAGG